This 274-nucleotide ribosomal RNA is filed under the name uncultured bacterium. RNAcentral's name for it is "partial 16S ribosomal RNA". It matches the Rfam family "Bacterial small subunit ribosomal RNA", at positions 523 to 796 of the family's 1533-position model. The record is from RNAcentral.
AUACGGAGAGGGCGAGCGUUGUUCGGAUUUACUGGGCGUAAAGGGCAUGUAGGUGUCCCGAUAAGCUCUGGGUGAAAUCUCCGCGCUCAACGCGGAAACGAAUCAGAGAACUAUCGGGAUUGAGUUCAGGAGAAGAGAGUGGAAUUCUCAGUGUAGCGGCGAAAUGCGUAGAUAUUGAGAAGAACACCAGCGGCGAAGGCGGCUCUCUAUUCUGAAACUGACACUCAAAUGCGAAAGCGUGGGGAGCGAAUGGGAUUAGAAACCCCAGUAGUCC